UGGCGGCGUGGAUAAGACAUGCAAGUCGAACGAGAGAAUUGCUAGCUUGCUAAUAAUUCUCUAGUGGCGCACGGGUGAGUAACACGUGAGUAACCUGCCCCCGAGAGCGGGAUAGCCCUGGGAAACUGGGAUUAAUACCGCAUAGUAUCGAAAGAUUAAAGCAGCAAUGCGCUUGGGGAUGGGCUCGCGGCCUAUUAGUUAGUUGGUGAGGUAACGGCUCACCAAGGCGAUGACGGGUAGCCGGUCUGAGAGGAUGUCCGGCCACACUGGAACUGAGACACGGUCCAGACACCUACGGGUGGCAGCAGUCGAGAAUCAUUCACAAUGGGGGAAACCCUGAUGGUGCGACGCCGCGUGGGGGAAUGAAGGUCUUCGGAUUGUAAACCCCUGUCAUGUGGGAGCAAAUUAAAAAGAUAGUACCACAAGAGGAAGAGACGGCUAACUCUGUGCCGGCAGCCGCGGUAAUACAGAGGUCUCAAGCGUUGUUCGGAAUCACUGGGCGUAAAGCGUGCGUAGGCUGUUUCGUAAGUCGUGUGUGAAAGGCGCGGGCUCAACCCGCGGACGGCACAUGAUACUGCGAGACUAGAGUAAUGGAGGGGGAACCGGAAUUCACGGUGUAGCA
RNAcentral lists this ribosomal RNA (622 nucleotides) under Akkermansia muciniphila. RNAcentral describes it as "bacterial SSU rRNA". It matches the Rfam family "Bacterial small subunit ribosomal RNA", at positions 37 to 680 of the family's 1533-position model. Lineage: Bacteria; Pseudomonadati; Verrucomicrobiota; Verrucomicrobiia; Verrucomicrobiales; Akkermansiaceae. The record is from RNAcentral.